CACACCGCGCCGCGCCGCGCCGCGCCGCGCGACCAGCUGGCUGUAUCGCCCCACCACCUCGCCCGAGUCGGACCACAAUCCGUGAAUAUGAUUGGCUGCCACGAACCACGCGAGCUCCUCGUUUCCUCUCCGUCGGCAUCGGUGCCUUCUUCUUCCCCCUUUUCCGCAUUAACUGUUAUCGACGCAGAGGCCGACAUUGGCGGUUAACGAGGUCGAGACAAAGUAACGAUCGGUAGCAGCGUGAAUCUAAUGUAUAAUAAUUAAGUCGCCUGACUAUUGACUAUUGUCAUUUAUGCAUCAAUGAAAGAUGAAAAUUGCAUUCUUUUAAUACAAAACGUGAAAAAUU
This is a long non-coding RNA of Pogonomyrmex barbatus (red harvester ant), 346 nucleotides long. RefSeq lists it as uncharacterized. Lineage: Eukaryota; Metazoa; Arthropoda; Insecta; Hymenoptera; Formicidae. The record is from RefSeq and is a predicted model, not a curated record.